RNAcentral lists this ribosomal RNA (253 nucleotides) under uncultured bacterium. RNAcentral describes it as "partial 16S ribosomal RNA". It matches the Rfam family "Bacterial small subunit ribosomal RNA", at positions 524 to 776 of the family's 1533-position model. The record is from RNAcentral.
GACGAACCGUGCAAACGUUGUUCGGAAUCACUGGGCUUAAAGGGCGCGUAGGCGGGGGACCAAGUCCGGGGUGAAAUCUUUCGGCUCAACCGGAAAACUGCCUUGGAUACUGGUCUUCUUGAGGGAGGUAGGGGCAGGUGGAACUUCCGGUGGAGCGGUGAAAUGCGUUGAUAUCGGAAGGAACGCCGGUGGCGAAAGCGACCUGCUGGAUCUCUUCUGACGCUGAUGCGCGAAAGCUAGGGGAGCGAACGGG